CCGCUUGCCCUGGAGCUGGAAUCCCGCCUCCUGCAGGCUGUUCUCCACAGUGUCUUCACCAUGGGCACUGGGCAGGACACCACCCACUUCCAGGCUCUACACAGGACCUAUUCACAGAGCCUGGACACCAUGCUCGGGGGCCUGCUGACAGAGACCCCCACUACGGACAAGCUGCAGCACCUCUUUGAGCACGUCCAUUUCUAGCUCCACUCCAAAAAGACCCAGGAGAGAGCUAGGGCCAUACAGAGCAGCGCAGCCC
Long non-coding RNA from Dermochelys coriacea (leatherback sea turtle), 259 nucleotides. RefSeq lists it as uncharacterized. The transcript has 3 exons. The record is from RefSeq and is a predicted model, not a curated record. NCBI's taxonomy places the organism in Eukaryota, Metazoa, Chordata, Testudines, Dermochelyidae.